GAACGCUGGCGGCAGGCCUAACACAUGCAAGUCGAACGGUAGCACAGAGAGCUUGCUCCUGGGUGACGAGCGGCGGACGGGUGAGUAAUGUCUGGGAAACUGCCUGAUGGAGGGGGAUAACUACUGGAAACGGUAGCUAAUACCGCAUAACGUCGCAAGACCAAAGAGGGGGACCUUCGGGCCUCUUGCCAUCAGAUGUGCCCAGAUGGGAUUAGCUAGUAGGUGGGGUAAUGGCUCACCUAGGCGACGAUCCCUAGCUGGUCUGAGAGGAUGACCAGCCACACUGGAACUGAGACACGGUCCAGACUCCUACGGGAGGCAGCAGUGGGGAAUAUUGCACAAUGGGCGCAAGCCUGAUGCAGCCAUGCCGCGUGUAUGAAGAAGGCCUUCGGGUUGUAAAGUACUUUCAGCGAGGAGGAAGGCAUUGAGGUUAAUAACCUCGGUGAUUGACGUUACUCGCAGAAGAAGCACCGGCUAACUCCGUGCCAGCAGCCGCGGUAAUACGGAGGGUGCAAGCGUUAAUCGGAAUUACUGGGCGUAAAGCGCACGCAGGCGGUCUGUCAAGUCGGAUGUGAAAUCCCCGGGCUCAACCUGGGAACUGCAUUCGAAACUGGCAGGCUAGAGUCUUGUAGAGGGGGGUAGAAUUCCAGGUGUAGCGGUGAAAUGCGUAGAGAUCUGGAGGAAUACCGGUGGCGAAGGCGGCCCCCUGG
This 710-nucleotide ribosomal RNA is filed under the name Pantoea agglomerans. RNAcentral describes it as "bacterial SSU rRNA". It matches the Rfam family "Bacterial small subunit ribosomal RNA", at positions 31 to 732 of the family's 1533-position model. Lineage: Bacteria; Pseudomonadati; Pseudomonadota; Gammaproteobacteria; Enterobacterales; Erwiniaceae. The record is from RNAcentral.